AUACUGCAAGUCGAGCGGACAGAAGGGAGCUUGCUCCCGGAUGUUAGCGGCGGACGGGUGAGUAACACGUGGGUAACCUGCCUGUAAGACUGGGAUAACUCCGGGAAACCGGAGCUAAUACCGGAUAGUUCCUUGAACCGCAUGGUUCAAGGAUGAAAGACGGUUUCGGCUGUCACUUACAGAUGGACCCGCGGCGCAUUAGCUAGUUGGUGAGGUAACGGCUCACCAAGGCGACGAUGCGUAGCCGACCUGAGAGGGUGAUCGGCCACACUGGGACUGAGACACGGCCCAGACUCCUACGGGAGGCAGCAGUAGGGAAUCUUCCGCAAUGGACGAAAGUCUGACGGAGCAACGCCGCGUGAGUGAUGAAGGUUUUCGGAUCGUAAAGCUCUGUUGUUAGGGAAGAACAAGUGCAAGAGUAACUGCUUGCACCUUGACGGUACCUAACCAGAAAGCCACGGCUAACUACGUGCCAGCAGCCGCGGUAAUACGUAGGUGGCAAGCGUUGUCCGGAAUUAUUGGGCGUAAAGGGCUCGCAGGCGGUUUCUUAAGUCUGAUGUGAAAGCCCCCGGCUCAACCGGGGAGGGUCAUUGGAAACUGGGAAACUUGAGUGCAGAAGAGGAGAGUGGAAUUCCACGUGUAGCGGUGAAAUGCGUAGAGAUGUGGAGGAACACCAGUGGCGAAGGCGACUCUCUGGUCUGUAACUGACGCUGAGGAGCGAAAGCGUGGGGAGCGAACAGGAUUAGAUACCCUGGUAGUCCACGCCGUAAACGAUGAGUGCUAAGUGUUAGGGGGUUUCCGCCCCUUAGUGCUGCAGCUAACGCAUUAAGCACUCCGCCUGGGGAGUACGGUCGCAAGACUGAAACUCAGAGGAAUUGACGGGGGCCCGCCCAAGCG
Molecule: ribosomal RNA, 897 nt
Filed under: Bacillus altitudinis
Lineage: Bacteria; Bacillati; Bacillota; Bacilli; Caryophanales; Bacillaceae
Description: bacterial SSU rRNA
Rfam family: Bacterial small subunit ribosomal RNA
Source: RNAcentral